This 433-nucleotide ribosomal RNA is filed under the name uncultured bacterium. RNAcentral describes it as "partial 16S ribosomal RNA". It matches the Rfam family "Bacterial small subunit ribosomal RNA", at positions 29 to 507 of the family's 1533-position model. The record is from RNAcentral.
AGCGAACGCUGGCGGCAGGCCUAACACAUGCAAGUCGAACGAACUCUUCGGAGUUAGUGGCGGACGGGUGAGUAACACGUGGGAACGUGCCUUUAGGUUCGGAAUAACUCAGGGAAACUUGUGCUAAUACCGAAUGUGCCCUUCGGGGGAAAGAUUUAUCGCCUUUAGAGCGGCCCGCGUCUGAUUCGCUAGUUGGUGAGGUAAAGGCUCACCAAGGCGACGAUCAGUAGCUGGUCUGAGAGGAUGAUCAGCCACAUUGGGACUGAGACACGGCCCAAACUCCUACGGGAGGCAGCAGUGGGGAAUCUUGCGCAAUGGGCGAAAGCCUGACGCAGCCAUGCCGCGUGAAUGAUGAAGGUCUUAGGAUUGUAAAAUUCUUUCACCGGGGACGAUAAUGACGGUACCCGGAGAAGAAGCCCCGGCUAACUUCGUG